CCGGCAGCUGCCACGCUUCCCUGAAAAGGCGGCUUCUGUUCUGCUGGAGAUGAGCUGAUUUGCCUGGCAGCCAACUUAAACAAGGAGGCAAGAAAACAGCAUAGACUGGGCUCCCAAAUACAUCUACAUGGAUUUAAUGGACACGAUUUUAUACACGUGUCCUGGAAAAGUGCUGGCCACAAAGGAGAUGCCUGAUAAAGACUGUGGAAAAAAAUAUCUGAACAUACAGUCAUAAAAAAGAAGAGAGGAUGAAGACUCACUUCCGUCUGAAAAUGUAAGCUUCCUGAGGAUAGAAGUUUUUACUCUGGUUAACUGGGGUACUUAGCACUUGGAGCACUACACACAUCAUAGGAGUUCAGCAAAUACUUAUUGAAUGAAAUGAAACCUAUAAAUUCAGUCCCUGCCGCACAGAGAUGUGGAGUCUGAAUUUGCAUUACCUGCAUGGAGAAGAAAUACCGACCUGAGACUAUGCCAAUAAGUAUGACCUUGGAUUGAUGAAAUCAGGAACUGUAGGAGAAUCAAAGGUAUAACUCCUCUUGUUCCCUUCUAUAGAACACAUCUUAUUAAAAAUGACCACCAUAAAAACUACACAAAGAAUUUGAUAAUAUAGGAGAUGGUAU
RNAcentral lists this long non-coding RNA (620 nucleotides) under Homo sapiens (human). RNAcentral describes it as "HSALNT0325105". Lineage: Eukaryota; Metazoa; Chordata; Mammalia; Primates; Hominidae. The record is from RNAcentral.